Molecule: long non-coding RNA, 777 nt
Organism: Helicoverpa armigera (cotton bollworm)
Lineage: Eukaryota; Metazoa; Arthropoda; Insecta; Lepidoptera; Noctuidae
Exons: 2
Source: RefSeq, a predicted model, not a curated record
AUAUAGUUAGAUUAAAUGCACGUCCAAUUGCUUUACGUGGUUAUUCUUAAACUCUGGGCUCUCAAAAUAAGACAUGCUCGUUGUGGUACAAAUAGCUUAACUUAUACCCUCUUAUUAUAAAACGCGGUAUCAAAUAAGUAUCGGCUUUUGUACUACCUUUAAUCCACCUUUAAGUACGACCUUGAAAAAACGUUAUUACAAAACGCAGUUUAUCGCAAGUCCUAUUACUAUCUGUAGUACAAAAGAUAAACCAUCGAGCCCCCUAGUUUAACUGCAGUACUUAGUCGACAAACGUCAAAUUCCGACAUUAUUUACUUUUGAGGUUAUUUGUUUUGUGAUGAAAAAAACGAAAGUGGAUAUAAAUAUGUGUGAUUUGGAAUACUUGGAUGUGUUAGAAUACUAUUGAGAGUGUCCGGGAACCCAAAAGAAUGCGUCAUCGACAAAAUCUCUUCAAAUAACCUGACGACAAUUUUCGAUAUAAAUAUCGAUUUACGUUUUUCGAAAUAAUAGUCAAUUGAAUGCAUGAUGAUAAUCCAGGAUGAUCCUAUGAUGCUCAACUGGGCUCGCCAUAAAAUUCAAGACUAUUUUGGCGUUUCGCACGCCGUAUCUCUGCCAGUAAUAUGCAAUGUUUGUAAAAGACUGGAAGCUUGCUAAAAUGUACAAAAAUGCCUAGAUGAGAAAGGGAACAAGAUUGUGUGAUGAAGAACAGUGUCCAACAUGUAUCAGUGCAUUUGACUGUAUAAAUAGACAUCGGAAUAAAAUAUAAUUUUCUACUUU